AAAAGUUACUUUAGCAACUGCCUCAAUAACUGCAUCAUAAUGCGUUGUGUUUGUUGAUACCUUGGGUGACUUGAAGAUUUGGGCGAGACUCUGGACGACCGUAUGUCACUCUAUUCGUUCAGACUCUGAGCGACUUGCAAACUUGGACGAUGUCGUUACCGCACUAUUGGACCCCUUAUUUGGGCAUUCACCUUGAUUCGUUCAAUUGGAUUUCGUUCUUUGGGCUAUCUGAUUUGGAGAUCUUCCAAUUGGGCUUUACUCUCUGGGCUGUUAGAUUUGGGCUGAAUUUUUAUGUGUCAACAAUUACCCCCCAAUAUGGCAGAAUUAAUAAUAAUUAUUGAAUUUUGCCAUAUUCACUUCACGUCUUCAGCAACGUUCACG
RNAcentral lists this long non-coding RNA (381 nucleotides) under Olea europaea (common olive). Its description in RNAcentral is "long non-coding RNA (OEUR_LNC005601)". Lineage: Eukaryota; Viridiplantae; Streptophyta; Magnoliopsida; Lamiales; Oleaceae. The record is from RNAcentral.